GGAAUAUUGCACAAUGGGCGAAAGCCUGAUGCAGCAACGCCGCGUGGGGGAUGACGGCCUUCGGGUUGUAAACCUCUUUUAGUAGGGAAGAAGGACUUCGGUUUGACGGUACCUGCAGAAAAAGCACCGGCUAACUACGUGCCAGCAGCCGCGGUAAUACGUAGGGUGCAAGCGUUGUCCGGAAUUAUUGGGCGUAAAGAGCUCGUAGGCGGUUUGUCGCGUCUGCUGUGAAAACCCGAGGCUCAACCUCGGGCCUGCAGUGGGUACGGGCAGACUAGAGUGCGGUAGGGGAGAAUGGAAUUCCUGGUGUAGCGGUGGAAUGCGCAGAUAUCAGGAGGAACACCGAUGGCGAAGGCAGUUCUCUGGGCCGUUACUGACGCUGAGGAGCGAAAGCGUGGGGAGCGAACAGGAUUAGAUACCCGGG
Molecule: ribosomal RNA, 424 nt
Filed under: uncultured Rathayibacter sp.
Lineage: Bacteria; Bacillati; Actinomycetota; Actinomycetes; Micrococcales; Microbacteriaceae
Description: bacterial SSU rRNA
Rfam family: Bacterial small subunit ribosomal RNA
Source: RNAcentral